Molecule: ribosomal RNA, 386 nt
Filed under: uncultured bacterium
Lineage: Bacteria
Description: bacterial SSU rRNA
Rfam family: Bacterial small subunit ribosomal RNA
Source: RNAcentral
GAUGAACGCUAGCGGCAGGCUUAAUACAUGCAGGUCGAGGGGCAGCAUAAGUAGCAAUACUUGAUGGCGACCGGCAAACGGGUGCGGAACACGUACGCAACCUUCCUUUAAGUGGGGAAUAGCCCGGGGAAACCCGGAUUAAUACCCCGUAAUAUUAUGAUGUGGCAUCACUUUAUAAUUAUAGAUUUAUCGCUUAAAGAUGGGCGUGCGCCUGAUUAGGUAGUUGGCGGGUAACGGCCCACCAAGCCUGCGAUCAGUAACUGGUGUGAGAGCACGACCAGUCACACGGGCACUGAGACACGGGCCCGACUCCUACGGGAGGCAGCAGUAAGGAAUAUUGGUCAAUGGACGCAAGUCUGAACCAGCCAUGCCGCGUGGAGGAUGAA